CUAAAUUACCAUUUUCUUUCCUCCUACUCCUCACGGGUCCUUCAAAGAAAUUAUCAAGUUUGUUUCAAGUUCCAAAUCAAGAAGGUAGGUAAUUAAAUGUCUUACUCUUCAUUAAUCUUCCAGUUUCAAUUUCAAAAAAAAUUCAUUCUUACUUUGUGAUCAACAAAUUGCAGAAUCGAACUAUUGCCAACACCACCCCUCAUAUCAAGGUUACCUCCUACUUUACUUUCUCCAUACAUUCAUUUGUUAAAUUACAAAACUAUGAUUCAAAUGAAAACAGAUCGAACACACGCAUCCAUUACCACUUCUUUUAGACUAUUAUUGUUUCAAUUACAUCAGCUUAUCACCAUCAGAGAACCACCAACAGAAUAAUACACACGCACACAUUUUACUAUAUUCUCUAAUCUAUUACAUGUACAAUCAGUUUUAAUAAAAAGGAAAUGAAUGAUUGAAAGAACAGAUUAAUAAAACCCUAAUUUUGCUUUUGUGCGUGUGACUGAAAUUUGGGGGUUCUUGUGUCUUUGCCUUCUGUGUAUGUCCGAAAAUGGGGAAAGAGGUGAGAGCAGCCGGGGGCUGCUCACGGUCGGCGACGGCGGCGGCGGCACAGCCGCUAGCCCUUGUCCUGCCAAAACGAGAGAGAAGAGGGUAGAGAGAGAGAUGGUUAGGGCUUCUGUAAAAAUAAAAAAAAGGGGAAAGGAAGAAGAGAGGGAGGGGAGGACUUAUCUUCUCCGGUGACGACGACGCGGCGGCAUCGGCAGCGGCGACACGACGGCGGGAGCAACGGGCUGUUCCUGACCGGCCGGAAAAGAGGGAAAUAAGGGAAAUUUCAGAUCUGGGUUUAAAAAUAGAAAAGAGAGGAAAAGGGGGAAGAUUUGGAACCUACCUUUCCGGCGAGGCAAGGCUCGGCCUCCACCACGAUUCCAGCCAGACGGACGGCGGCCGAGCUCCUUCACAGCGAGGCGGCGGCUGUGGUCGUCAAGGCGGCACAGGCAUCGAUUACCGGCGAGGGAGAAAUAACAGAGGGAGAGGGGCGGACGAAAGAGACAGGGGAGAGAGAGAAGGGGGGGAAGCGUCCGGCGAGGCGGCGCGCCGGAGGCGGCGCCGCACUCGACCGAGCAGAGGGGCGAGAGAGCCGAGAGAAAGAGAGAGCAAAGGGGCUGGUGUGUGUUGUGU
Molecule: long non-coding RNA, 1173 nt
Filed under: Salvia miltiorrhiza (redroot sage)
Lineage: Eukaryota; Viridiplantae; Streptophyta; Magnoliopsida; Lamiales; Lamiaceae
Description: long non-coding RNA (SMIL_LNC006823)
Source: RNAcentral